Molecule: long non-coding RNA, 779 nt
Filed under: Vigna radiata
Lineage: Eukaryota; Viridiplantae; Streptophyta; Magnoliopsida; Fabales; Fabaceae
Description: long non-coding RNA (VRAD_LNC016900)
Source: RNAcentral
UUCACUAAAAAAACAACAAAGGAACAACAUAACAGAAACAACUAAGACUUUAGACUCCUAAUCUCUAGAUCAUAUCUUUAAUUAGAAUAUUUUCAUCGCACCCUCUCCAUCCUUAAUUCUUUCUUCACAAUUCUUUCAACCAACUCAUCCCUCUCUUUCUUUAUUACCACAGUUAUGACCCUUCAUUCUCUUCCUUUCACUUUUCUCUACUUUACUCAACUUCAAAACCCACCAACUCAUUCUUUGGCUCUCCUACCGUAAGCACUGCAUGUAUACAAACAACACUAAACUUCCUCAUCAUUAGACUCCCUUAGCUUCCCACUGAAACUUACUCCAAGAACACCCAAAAACCAAUUCCCCUUACAAAAGUGUAACUCUCUCAUUUCUUCUUUCUUACCCACGUCAUCACUGAAACCUUUCACACAUUUCCCUUAUCUCUCCUCCAACCUUCUAUUCUCUAUUUCCCCUUCUUUGAUUUCACUAAACACUCUAGUAGGAACUCCCUUCUAUGCAAGGAUCUUUCCCCUCGUCUCUAGUUUCAUCUCAACGGGUUAUAGGUGGCAACACCCAUCCUAACCAAAACUAAAAUAUAGCUACCUUCAUUCACGUUCCCUCAUCAUUCUCUCAUGCUCACAAGACCUUCAUCCUUCACUGCCUUCAUUUUAUUCCCUUCCCUUUUCAUUAAUCUCAAUUUAUUCCAACCAUCACAGUCAUGUUCAAUAACCUUACUUUCCCUUUCUUUUUACUACACCUAGACUCUAUACUUUUCUAUGUGAUAA